RNAcentral lists this transfer RNA (76 nucleotides) under Chloroflexota bacterium. Its description in RNAcentral is "tRNA-Ile". It matches the Rfam family "tRNA". From Rfam's summary of the family: Transfer RNA (tRNA) molecules are approximately 80 nucleotides in length. Their secondary structure includes four short double-helical elements and three loops (D, anti-codon, and T loops). Lineage: Bacteria; Bacillati; Chloroflexota. The record is from RNAcentral. RNAcentral also lists the same sequence under 3 other names.
GGGCCCGUAGCUCAGUGGUUAGAGCGGCCGGCUCAUAACCGGUUGGUCGCAGGUUCGAGUCCUGCCGGGCCCACCA